UGCGGGGUGGAGCAGCGGCAGCUUGCUAGGCUCAUAACCUGGAGGUCGCAGGUUCAAAUCCUGUCCCCGCAA
Molecule: transfer RNA, 72 nt
Filed under: Armatimonadota bacterium
Lineage: Bacteria; Bacillati; Armatimonadota
Description: Armatimonadetes bacterium (activated sludge metagenome) tRNA-Met
Rfam family: tRNA
About the family: Transfer RNA (tRNA) molecules are approximately 80 nucleotides in length. Their secondary structure includes four short double-helical elements and three loops (D, anti-codon, and T loops).
Source: RNAcentral